This 675-nucleotide ribosomal RNA is filed under the name Ganoderma sp. BAB-4725. RNAcentral's name for it is "eukaryotic LSU rRNA". The stretch from base 249 to 402 matches the Rfam family "5.8S ribosomal RNA". The record is from RNAcentral. Lineage: Eukaryota; Fungi; Basidiomycota; Agaricomycetes; Polyporales; Polyporaceae.
GUAAACAAGGUUUCCGUAGGUGAACCUGCGGAAGGAUCAUUAUCGAGUUUUGACUGGGUUGUAGCUGGCCUUCCGAGGCAUGUGCACGCCCUGCUCAUCCACUCUACACCUGUGCACUUACUGUGGGUUUCAGACGGUGUAGCGAGGCUCUUUACGAGGAGCUUCGUGAAAGCGUGUCUGUGCCUGCGUUUAUUACAAACUCUUUACAAGUAUUAGAAUGUGUAUUGCGAUGUAACGCAUCUAUAUACAACUUUCAGCAACGGAUCUCUUGGCUCUCGCAUCGAUGAAGAACGCAGCGAAAUGCGAUAAGUAAUGUGAAUUGCAGAAUUCAGUGAAUCAUCGAAUCUUUGAACGCACCUUGCGCUCCUUGGUAUUCCGAGGAGCAUGCCUGUUUGAGUGUCAUGAAAUCUUCAACCUGUAAGCUUUUAAUCGGGUUUGUAGGCUUGGACUUGGAGGCUAUUGUCGGCCUUUAUUGGUCGGCUCCUCUUAAAUGCAUUAGCUUGGUUCCUUGUGGAUCGGCUUGUCGGUGUGAUAAUUGUCUACGCCGCGACUGUGAAGCGUUUGGGCGAGGCUUCUAAUCGUCUCACUUUAUGAGACAGCACUUAUGACCUCUGACCUCAAAUCAGGUAGGACUACCCGCUGAACUUAAGCAUAUCAAUAAGCGGAGGAAAAGAA